GAUGAACGCUGGCGGCGUGCCUAAUACAUGCAAGUCGAGCGAACAGAUGAGGAGCUUGCUCCUCUGACGUUAGCGGCGGACGGGUGAGUAACACGUGGAUAACCUACCUAUAAGACUGGGAUAACUUCGGGAAACCGGAGCUAAUACCGGAUAAUAUAUUGAACCGCAUGGUUCAAUAGUGAAAGACGGUUUUGCUGUCACUUAUAGAUGGAUCCGCGCCGCAUUAGCUAGUUGGUAAGGUAACGGCUUACCAAGGCAACGAUGCGUAGCCGACCUGAGAGGGUGAUCGGCCACACUGGAACUGAGACACGGUCCAGACUGCUACGGGAGGCAGCAGUAGGGAAUCUUCCGCAAUAGGCGAAAGCUUGACGGAGCAACGACGCGUGAGUGAUGAAGGUCUUCGGAUCGUAAAACUCUGUUAUUAGGGAAGAACAAAUGUGUAAGUAACUAUGCACGUCUUGACGGUACCUAAUCAGAAAGCCACGGCUAACUACGUG
This 497-nucleotide ribosomal RNA is filed under the name uncultured bacterium. RNAcentral's name for it is "partial 16S ribosomal RNA". It matches the Rfam family "Bacterial small subunit ribosomal RNA", at positions 28 to 507 of the family's 1533-position model. The record is from RNAcentral.